This 499-nucleotide ribosomal RNA is filed under the name uncultured bacterium. RNAcentral's name for it is "partial 16S ribosomal RNA". It matches the Rfam family "Bacterial small subunit ribosomal RNA", at positions 355 to 868 of the family's 1533-position model. The record is from RNAcentral.
UGGGGAAUAUUGCACAAUGGGCGAAAGCCUGAUGCAGCAACGCCGCGUGAGUGAUGAAGGUCUUCGGAUUGUAAAGCUCUGUCUUUUGGGACGAUAAUGACGGUACCAAAGGAGGAAGCCACGGCUAACUACGUGCCAGCAGCCGCGGUAAUACGUAGGUGGCGAGCGUUGUCCGGAUUUACUGGGCGUAAAGGGUGCGUAGGCGGAUGUUUAAGUGAGAUGUGAAAUACCCGGGCUUAACUUGGGUGCUGCAUUUCAAACUGGAUAUCUAGAGUGCAGGAGAGGAGAAUGGAAUUCCUAGUGUAGCGGUGAAAUGCGUAGAGAUUAGGAAGAACACCAGUGGCGAAGGCGAUUCUCUGGACUGUAACUGACGCUGAGGCACGAAAGCGUGGGUAGCAAACAGGAUUAGAUACCCUGGUAGUCCACGCCGUAAACGAUGAGUACUAGGUGUAGGAGGUAUCGACCCCUUCUGUGCCGCAGUAAAACACAUUAAAGUACU